AUCCCAUUUCUAGCCCUUACCCCUUCCCCUUACCCCUUCCCCUUGCCCCUCAAUACAGAGGGGUAAAACGUUCCCCUAAGAAAUGGGACGCCCCUCCAUUACGUGGCUUCAUCGUCGCUGACUGCUAUGUCAACAGAAGCCACGAGUAGGCAUGUUUCAGAUCAAGCAUACGUUGCGUUGCGUUGCCUCACAUAACAUAAUGAAUUAGUGGAUAAAAACGUAAGAAAUGCUGGCGUUAACUUCCCUAUGUGAUGCGACGCGUCACAUGGCUUUAAAAACUCGCUGGAUCUCCAUUGUAACUCUGUCCGUCUGCUUUUCUGUGCAUGUGCUCUUUCAAAUAAAUGCAGACAUAAGACACUCCCCUCAACAUAUCAAAACAGCCAUAGGAUAGGAUAGGAUAGGAUUUUAUUUGUUGUCAUUGCACAUACACACAGGUACACACAGGUGCACACAGGUGCAACGCCAAACCACUCCCCAGGGAAACAAAAGGCAUGCCAUAGGGAACAACGAAACCAACUUACUUAGGAACCAAUAUUUGGUGGAGUUCACAUAAAAAAAGGUAUGAACAAUGAUAAAAAAUAAAACAAAAUCAAAUUCAAUUUAGCUCGGCUACACACACACACACACACACACACACACACACACACACACACACACACACACACACACACACACACACACACACCAAAAUACUAAA
Molecule: long non-coding RNA, 697 nt
Organism: Gadus macrocephalus (Pacific cod)
Lineage: Eukaryota; Metazoa; Chordata; Actinopteri; Gadiformes; Gadidae
Exons: 2
Source: RefSeq, a predicted model, not a curated record